GAGGGUAUAGCUCAAUUGGUAGAGCGCAUGCUUACCAUGCAUGAGGUCCUGGGUUCAAUCCCCAGUACCUCCA
This 73-nucleotide transfer RNA is filed under the name Camelus bactrianus (Bactrian camel). It matches the Rfam family "tRNA". Rfam says of the family: Transfer RNA (tRNA) molecules are approximately 80 nucleotides in length. Their secondary structure includes four short double-helical elements and three loops (D, anti-codon, and T loops). Lineage: Eukaryota; Metazoa; Chordata; Mammalia; Artiodactyla; Camelidae. The record is from Rfam by way of RNAcentral. RNAcentral also lists the same sequence under 1 other name.